AAAAGAAACUAACAAGGAUUCCCCUAGUAACGGCGAGUGAAGCGGGAUGAGCUCAAAUUUAAAAUCUGGCUGGUUUACUAGUCCGAAUUGUAGUUUAUAGAAGCGUUUUCGGUGGCAGCCUGGGUAUAAAUCCUUUGGAAUAGGGUAUCAUAGAGGGUGAGAAUCCCGUCUUUGACUCAGUGCAUGCUACUAUGUGAUACGUUUUCAAAGAGUCGAGUUGUUUGGGAAUGCAGCUCAAAAUGGGUGGUAAAUUUCAUCUAAAGCUAAAUAUUGGCGAGAGACCGAUAGCGAACAAGUACCGUGAGGGAAAGAUGAAAAGAACUUUGAAAAGAGAGUUAAACAGUGCGUGAAAUUGUUGAAAGGGAAACGUUUGACACCAGUUAUGCGGGUGGAAAAUCAGUCUUUUGCAAUAGGGAGUUGUGGGCGUUCAGACCGCAAGGCUGGCGUUUGCUUCAUCUUUGUUGUAAGUGAUGCACUUUUUCAUUUGCAGGUCAACAUCAGUUUGCUCUGCUGGACAAAACUCCAAGGGAAGGUGGCAGCUUAGGCUGUGUUAUAGCCCUGGAGCGAUACAGUGGGGUGGACUGAGGUUUCGCAGUGUGUGCUCUCGGGCAAGGCUGACUGGGUGCUAUGGGAUUGUUCGGCGUACAAUGCAUGCAUUUUGCGUCGUGUCUUUUUCAUACUCGCUCAACUCGGCUCUUCCACGCUUAGGAUGUUGACUUAAUGGUUUUAAACGA
This 734-nucleotide ribosomal RNA is filed under the name Linnemannia exigua. RNAcentral describes it as "eukaryotic LSU rRNA". It matches the Rfam family "Eukaryotic large subunit ribosomal RNA", at positions 57 to 647 of the family's 3401-position model. Lineage: Eukaryota; Fungi; Mortierellomycota; Mortierellomycetes; Mortierellales; Mortierellaceae. The record is from RNAcentral.